Molecule: ribosomal RNA, 468 nt
Filed under: uncultured bacterium
Lineage: Bacteria
Description: partial 16S ribosomal RNA
Rfam family: Bacterial small subunit ribosomal RNA
Source: RNAcentral
GACGAACGCUGGCGGCGUGCUUAACACAUGCAAGUCGAACGGAAAGGCCCUGCUUUUGUGGGGUGCUCGAGUGGCGAACGGGUGAGUAACACGUGAGUAACCUGCCCUUGACUUUGGGAUAACUUCAGGAAACUGGGGCUCAUACCGGAUAGGAGCUCCUGCUGCAUGGGGGGGGUUGGAAAGUUUCGGCGGUUGGGGAUGGACUCGCGGCUUAUCAGCUUGUUGGUGGGGUAGUGGCUUACCAAGUCUUUGACGGGUAGCCGGCCUGAGAGGGUGACCGGCCACAUGGGGACUGAGAUACGGCCCAGACUCCUACGGGAGGCAGCAGUGGGGAAUAUUGCACAGUGGGCGGAAGCCUGAUGCAGCAACGCCGCGUGCGUGAUGAUGGCCUUCGGGUUGUAAACCGCUUUCGCCUGUGACGAAGCGUGAGUGACGGUAAUGGGUAAAGAAGCACCGGCUAACUACGUG